This 563-nucleotide ribosomal RNA is filed under the name Kurtzmanomyces sp. YM25263. RNAcentral describes it as "eukaryotic LSU rRNA". It matches the Rfam family "Eukaryotic large subunit ribosomal RNA", at positions 100 to 655 of the family's 3401-position model. Lineage: Eukaryota; Fungi; Basidiomycota; Agaricostilbomycetes; Agaricostilbales; Chionosphaeraceae. The record is from RNAcentral.
GGGAAAAGCUCAACUUUAAAAUCUGGCCCUUUCAGGGUCCGAGUUGUAGUCUCGAGAAGCAGCGUCCGCGCCGGACCUUGGACAAGUCGGUUGGAAAACCGCGUCAGAGAGGGUGACAAUCCCGUUGAUGCCAAGGACGCCCGUGUGCAUUGUGGCCUGCUUUCCAAGAGUCGAGUUGUUUGGGAAUGCAGCUCAAAUUGGGAGGUAGAUUCCUUCUAAAGCUAAAUAUUGGCGAGAGACCGAUAGCGAACAAGUACCGUGAGGGAAAGAUGAAAAGCACUUUGGAAAGAGAAUGAAACAGUAUGUGAAAUUGCUGAAAGGGAAACGAUUGAGCAUGAUGUUCGCUGGGGUAUUCAGGCCUCACGGCUGUAUUUACCUCUGUGCGAGCCAGCAUCGGUUUGAUCUCCAGUAAAAGGGUGCGGGGAACGUAGCUGCCCCGGCAGUGUUAUAGACCCGCACUGGAUGCUGGGGCGCAGACCGAGGAACGCAGGGCGCCGCAAGGCAGUACCCCCGUGGUACCGAGCCCUUAGGAUGCUGGUUUGAGUGCUUAACCGACCCGUCUU